This 497-nucleotide ribosomal RNA is filed under the name uncultured bacterium. RNAcentral's name for it is "partial 16S ribosomal RNA". It matches the Rfam family "Bacterial small subunit ribosomal RNA", at positions 28 to 507 of the family's 1533-position model. The record is from RNAcentral.
GAUGAACGCUGGCGGCGUGCCUAAUACAUGCAAGUCGAGCGAACAGACGAGGAGCUUGCUCCUCUGACGUUAGCGGCGGACGGGUGAGUAACACGUGGAUAACCUACCUAUAAGACUGGGAUAACUUCGGGAAACCUGAGCUAAUACCGGAUAAUAUAUUGAACCGCAUGGUUCAAUAUUGAAAGACGGUUUUGCUGUCACUUAUACAUUGAUCCGCGCCGCAUUAUCUAGGUGGUAAGGUAACGGCUUACCAAGGCAACGAUGCGUAGCCGACCUGAGAGGGGGAUCGGCCACACUAGAACUGAGACACGGUCCAGACUACUAAGGGAGGCAGCAGUAGGGAAUCUUCCGCAAUGGGCGAAAGCCUGACGGAGCAACGCCGCGUGAGUGAUGAAGGUCUUCGGAUCGUAAAACUCUGUUAUUAGGGAAGAACAAAUGUGUAAGUAACUAUGCACGUCUUGACGGUACCUAAUCAGAAAGCCACGGCUAACUACGUG